Molecule: ribosomal RNA, 396 nt
Filed under: Oradarea sp. BOLD:ADF6869
Lineage: Eukaryota; Metazoa; Arthropoda; Malacostraca; Amphipoda; Calliopiidae
Description: partial 16S ribosomal RNA
Source: RNAcentral
AGCAUGAACGGUUUAACAAAUAGUCUUAUGCUAUGGUAAGUAAGGUAAUUUCUAGUUUAAGUAAGAAUACUUAAAUAUUUGAGUGGGACGACAAGACCCUAAAAUCUUGAGUCUUAGGGUGAUUUAAGUAAUGUAAUGGGGAGGUACUUAAGUCCACUGGAUUUUAACUGGGGCAGUUUCUUUAUUUUAGUUAAGGUUUGUACACGCAGUUUUAUGGUUAACCGGUCCUUUAUAUGGGGAUAAGUGGAGUUAGUUACUUUAGGGGUAACAGCGCAAUAUACCCGGUAAGUUCUUAUUUAUGGGUGUGACUGCGACCUCGAUGUUGAAUUAAGAAGUUACUACGGAGCAGCAGAUGUAGAGGAGGGUUUGUUCAACCUUUAAAUUUUUACAUGAUUU